This 1227-nucleotide ribosomal RNA is filed under the name Escherichia coli. Its description in RNAcentral is "partial 23S ribosomal RNA". It matches the Rfam family "Bacterial large subunit ribosomal RNA", at positions 1 to 1268 of the family's 2925-position model. The record is from RNAcentral. Lineage: Bacteria; Pseudomonadati; Pseudomonadota; Gammaproteobacteria; Enterobacterales; Enterobacteriaceae.
GGUUAAGCGACUAAGCGUACACGGUGGAUGCCCUGGCAGUCAGAGGCGAUGAAGGACGUGCUAAUCUGCGAUAAGCGUCGGUAAGGUGAUAUGAACCGUUAUAACCGGCGAUUUCCGAAUGGGGAAACCCAGUGUGUUUCGACACACUAUCAUUAACUGAAUCCAUAGGUUAAUGAGGCGAACCGGGGGGACUGAAACAUCUAAGUACCCCGAGGAAAAGAAAUCAACCGAGAUUCCCCCAGUAGCGGCGAGCGAACGGGGAGCAGCCCAGAGCCUGAAUCAGUAUGUGUGUUAGUGGAAGCGUCUGGAAAGGCGCGCGAUACAGGGUGACAGCCCCGUACACAAAAAUGCACAUGCUGUGAGCUCGAUGAGUAGGGCGGGACACGUGGUAUCCUGUCUGAAUAUGGGGGGACCAUCCUCCAAGGCUAAAUACUCCUGACUGACCGAUAGUGAACCAGUACCGUGAGGGAAAGGCGAAAAGAACCCCGGCGAGGGGAGUGAAAAAGAACCUGAAACCGUGUACGUACAAGCAGUGGGAGCACGCUUAGGCGUGUGACUGCGUACCUUUUGUAUAAUGGGUCAGCGACUUAUAUUCUGUAGCAAGGUUAACCGAAUAGGGGAGCCGAAGGGAAACCGAGUCUUAACUGGGCGUUAAGUUGCAGGGUAUAGACCCGAAACCCGGUGAUCUAGCCAUGGGCAGGUUGAAGGUUGGGUAACACUAACUGGAGGACCGAACCGACUAAUGUUGAAAAAUUAGCGGAUGACUUGUGGCUGGGGGUGAAAGGCCAAUCAAACCGGGAGAUAGCUGGUUCUCCCCGAAAGCUAUUUAGGUAGCGCCUCGUGAAUUCAUCUCCGGGGGUAGAGCACUGUUUCGGCAAGGGGGUCAUCCCGACUUACCAACCCGAUGCAAACUGCGAAUACCGGAGAAUGUUAUCACGGGAGACACACGGCGGGUGCUAACGUCCGUCGUGAAGAGGGAAACAACCCAGACCGCCAGCUAAGGUCCCAAAGUCAUGGUUAAGUGGGAAACGAUGUGGGAAGGCCCAGACAGCCAGGAUGUUGGCUUAGAAGCAGCCAUCAUUUAAAGAAAGCGUAAUAGCUCACUGGUCGAGUCGGCCUGCGCGGAAGAUGUAACGGGGCUAAACCAUGCACCGAAGCUGCGGCAGCGACACUAUGUGUUGUUGGGUAGGGGAGCGUUCUGUAAGCCUGUGAAGGUGUACUGUGAGG